UGUCCCAUCUAUUUAUUUUUUUAUGACUAAAUAAUGCUUUAAUUUUUUUUUCAAGAACCAAAUUGAGUCUCUGGUUUUUUUAGAGACUUAAAGGAAGCUUAGUCGACAAGUAUGGUUGGACAUCCGGUUCACGUCUCUUGUGAUUUGAGUUUAAGUCUGAAAUUCUCUAAUUUUCUCCCUACAAGGUCUCGGCUGCGACAGAAAGGUUUGCAGCUUCCCUAUUGCACAACCAGCGUAGCAAUUGGUGUAUGCUGUUAUGUUGUUGCUGGCGUAGCAGGACUGUUCACUUGUGGGAUAUUGUUGAUGAAAAUUGCGCCAAUUAGUCAUCGUGCAGCUGAAAUUUUUGCAGCAGUGGCGCGCAACCAAUGAUAUGUCCCUGUGCAGCAGGCAGGAAUGUCCACUUGUGGUAAAAUAAUGUUAGUGAUGCAUUUUGCAACAAAACAAAUUAAGUCUUGCAGUUUUUCUCAAUGAUUAAAAUCGAUUUUCACUCUU
Medicago truncatula (barrel medic) is the source of this 492-nucleotide long non-coding RNA. RefSeq lists it as uncharacterized. The record is from RefSeq and is a predicted model, not a curated record. The transcript is spliced from 2 exons. NCBI's taxonomy places the organism in Eukaryota, Viridiplantae, Streptophyta, Magnoliopsida, Fabales, Fabaceae.